Molecule: long non-coding RNA, 1147 nt
Organism: Acanthochromis polyacanthus (spiny chromis)
Lineage: Eukaryota; Metazoa; Chordata; Actinopteri; Pomacentridae
Exons: 3
Source: RefSeq, a predicted model, not a curated record
AAUAGGAGCUGACUUCCGGUAGUGGCAAGAAGUGGUUUCAGAGUGGAACGCCAGCACGGUGGAUGUGGCUAAUAUCUGACCAUGGUGAAGUCGUGUGCUGCCAUCUCCUGCACCAAUCCAUUUGUAAUAUUUCCUUUCAUAAGUUUCCCAAGCAGUCCAAGGACAGCACACUGAGAGAUCAAUGGAUACAGGCCAUCAGUAGAGAAGCGGUGGGGACCAAGAGGAGAUGAUCAUAAUUAUGUCUGCAGCAACCAUUUCAGGGAGGAGGACUUCAUCCUCUCAAAACAUGCUCAACACAAGCUUCUCAGGCCAGGGGCUGUACCAUCCCUCAAUUUGGGGAACCCAGAGAAAAAGGUUAUGUUCUUUAAUUGUUAAUGGUUGCUCAUUAUUUCAAUUUAGUACUUUUCUUUUCUUGUCAACUUUAUUAAAACAGUUCUAUUUAGAAAUCAGUGACAAAGGUGUGCACAUGCAGUGCUAUUAAAAAAAGUCACAAAGAGGACAAGUUUAACCUACAACUAUGAAAUUUGCCAUGCAUAUGUCAGUGUGAACAAAAAUGUCUUUUGGUGUCAUGUUCUAAACGCAACAGGAAGUCUGUCAUUUUGAAUUGAAUGUCUGAUUUUGGUCAUUUUCAGCAAUUAAUUCUUCACAGGUGGUAACUACACAACACCUGAAAUUCUGACAUAUAUACAACACGCAUUUAGGUUGAAUAUUUAUGAAAAUUGCAAAUUUAACUCAAAGGGUGUGGUCAGAGGGGCUGACUGAACUUUGAUGGUUCAUCAUGAAGCAUGAUGUGCAGUAUAAAAGCCGUCUACAUACUGCAAUCUGCCUGAAAGUUUAUGUGAUUGAUCACAGUCCUGCAGUGAUGACAUCCAUAUGUCAAUGUGCACUCACAUUGACAUAUGGCAUGUUAACGGUUACCCCGUUAAACUUCAGCGGCCCGUAUGUGCAAACGUAUUUUGCUAAAUUGACCGAAGCUGCAAACUCGAUGAUAGAAACAUUAUACACCCAUGGAAAGCUUAGAUUCUCAUGAAUCCGCUGGUAUAAACCACUUUCAGAUGUGAUUACCACAGCAGGUAAUAUAAACACAUUUGUCCAACAAACAGCAAAUAAUGUAAACAGCACAACUCACCUUUGAAGGCUCAAAACU